Molecule: ribosomal RNA, 305 nt
Filed under: uncultured bacterium
Lineage: Bacteria
Description: bacterial SSU rRNA
Rfam family: Bacterial small subunit ribosomal RNA
Source: RNAcentral
GAGUCCCUACGGGGCGCAGCAGUGGGGAAUAUUGCACAAUGGGGGAAACCCUGAUGCAGCGACGCCGCGUGAGUGAAGAAGUAUCUCGGUAUGUAAAGCUCUAUCAGCAGGAAAGAUAAUGACGGUACCUGACUAAGAAGCCCCGGCUAACUACGUGCCAGCAGCCGCGGUAAUACGUAGGGGGCAAGCGUUAUCCGGAUUUACUGGGUGUAAAGGGAGCGUAGACGGCAGCGCAAGUCUGGAGUGAAAUGCCGGGGCCCAACCCCGGGACUGCUCUGGAAACUAUUGAACUUGAGUGCAGGAGG